This 485-nucleotide ribosomal RNA is filed under the name uncultured bacterium. RNAcentral's name for it is "partial 16S ribosomal RNA". It matches the Rfam family "Bacterial small subunit ribosomal RNA", at positions 30 to 506 of the family's 1533-position model. The record is from RNAcentral.
AUUGAACGCUGGCGGCAUGCCUUACACAUGCAAGUCGAACGGCAGCACGGGUGCUUGCACCUGGUGGCGAGUGGCGAACGGGUGAGUAAUACAUCGGAACAUGUCCUGUAGUGGGGGAUAGCCCGGCGAAAGCCGGAUUAAUACCGCAUACGAUCCACGGAUGAAAGCGGGGGACCUUCGGGCCUCGCGCUAUAGGGUUGGCCGAUGGCUGAUUAGCUAGUUGGUGGGGUAAAGGCCUACCAAGGCGACGAUCAGUAGCUGGUCUGAGAGGACGACCAGCCACACUGGGACUGAGACACGGCCCAGACUCCUACGGGAGGCAGCAGUGGGGAAUUUUGGACAAUGGGCGAAAGCCUGAUCCAGCAAUGCCGCGUGUGUGAAGAAGGCCUUCGGGUUGUAAAGCACUUUCGUCCGGAAAGAAAUCCUUGGCUCUAAUACAGUCGGGGGAUGACGGUACCGGAAGAAUAAGCACCGGCUAACUACGU